CUUUUGAUGGCGACCGGCGCACGGGUGAGUAACACGUAUCCAACCUGCCUCAUACUCGGGGAUAGCCUUUCGAAAGAAAGAUUAAUACCCGAUGUUAUAGUCCUACCGCAUGAUGGGAUUAUUAAAGAAUUUCGGUAUGGGAUGGGGAUGCGUUCCAUUAGUUAGUUGGCGGGGCAACGGCCCACCAAGACAACGAUGGAUAGGGGUUCUGAGAGGAAGGUCCCCCACAUUGGAACUGAGACACGGUCCAAACUCCUACGGAAGGCAGCAG
RNAcentral lists this ribosomal RNA (271 nucleotides) under uncultured bacterium. RNAcentral describes it as "partial 16S ribosomal RNA". It matches the Rfam family "Bacterial small subunit ribosomal RNA", at positions 78 to 354 of the family's 1533-position model. The record is from RNAcentral.